This is a non-coding RNA of Podarcis lilfordi (Lilford's wall lizard), 72 nucleotides long. The record is from the annotation of a GenBank genome assembly. NCBI's taxonomy places the organism in Eukaryota, Metazoa, Chordata, Lepidosauria, Squamata, Lacertidae.
UGGAUAGCUCUGUUGGUUAGAGCAUGAUGCUCAUAAUGCCAAGGUUGCUGGUUCGAUUCCCAUAUGGGACAG